GAUGAACGCUGGCGGCGUGCCUAAUACAUGCAAGUCGAGCGAACAGAUGAGGAGCUUGCUCCUCUGACGUUAGCGGCGGACGGGUGAGUAACACGUGGAUAACCUACCUAUAAGACUGGGAUAACUUCGGGAAACCGGAGCUAAUACCGGAUAAUAUAUUGAACCGCAUGGUUCAAUAGUGAAAGACGGUUUUGCUGUCACUUAUAGAUGGAUCCGCGCCGCAUUAGCUAGUUGGUAAGGUAACGGCUUACCAAGGCAACGAUGCGUAGCCGACCUGAGAGGGUGAUCCGCCACACGGGAGCUGGGACGCGGUCCCGACUCCUAAGGGAGGCAGCGGUAGGAAAUCUACCGCAAUGGGCGAAAGCCAAACGUAGAAACGCCGCGUAAGUGAGAAAGGUCUACGGCUCGUAAAACUCUGUUAUUAGGGAAGAAUAAAUGUGUAAGUACCGAUGCAAGUCUUACCGGUACCGAAUAAGAAGACCCGGGUAACUCCCGU
This 496-nucleotide ribosomal RNA is filed under the name uncultured bacterium. Its description in RNAcentral is "partial 16S ribosomal RNA". It matches the Rfam family "Bacterial small subunit ribosomal RNA", at positions 28 to 506 of the family's 1533-position model. The record is from RNAcentral.